UAGGGAAUCUUCGGCAAUGGACGAAAGUCUGACCGAGCAACGCCGCGUGAGUGAAGAAGGUUUUCGGAUCGUAAAACUCUGUUGUUAGAGAAGAACAAGGACGUUAGUAACUGAACGUCCCCUGACGGUAUCUAACCAGAAAGCCACGGCUAACUACGUGCCAGCAGCCGCGGUAAUACGUAGGUGGCAAGCGUUGUCCGGAUUUAUUGGGCGUAAAGCGAGCGCAGGCGGUUUCUUAAGUCUGAUGUGAAAGCCCCCGGCUCAACCGGGGAGGGUCAUUGGAAACUGGGAGACUUGAGUGCAGAAGAGGAGAGUGGAAUUCCAUGUGUAGCGGUGACAUGCGUAGAUCUAUGGAGGAACACCAGUGGCGAAGGCGGCUCUCUGGUCUGUAACUGACGCUGAGGCUCGAAAGCGUGGGGAGCAAACAGG
RNAcentral lists this ribosomal RNA (429 nucleotides) under Gemmatimonadota bacterium. RNAcentral's name for it is "Gemmatimonadetes bacterium partial 16S ribosomal RNA". It matches the Rfam family "Bacterial small subunit ribosomal RNA", at positions 355 to 776 of the family's 1533-position model. The record is from RNAcentral. Lineage: Bacteria; Pseudomonadati; Gemmatimonadota.